CACGUGCUACAAUGGCGUAAACAAAGGGAGGCAAGCGAGUAAUCGUAAGCAAACCCCAAAAAUAACGUCUCAGUUCGGACUGUGGUCUGCAACUCGACCACACGAAGCUGGAAUCGCUAGUAAUCGCGAAUCAGCAUGUCGCGGUGAAUACGUUCCCGGGUCUUGUACACACCGCCCGUCAAACCAUGAGAGUCACCAACACCCGAAGUCCGCUUUGGCGGCCUAAGGUGGGGGAGAUGAUUGGGGUUAAGUCGUAACAAGGUAGC
Molecule: ribosomal RNA, 266 nt
Filed under: uncultured bacterium
Lineage: Bacteria
Description: partial 16S ribosomal RNA
Rfam family: Bacterial small subunit ribosomal RNA
Source: RNAcentral